AUUGAACGCUGGCGGCAUGCCUUACACAUGCAAGUCGAACGGCAGCACGGGAGCAAUCCUGGUGGCGAGUGGCGAACGGGUGAGUAAUAUAUCGGAACGUGCCCAGUCGUGGGGGAUAACGCAGCGAAAGUUGUGCUAAUACCGCAUACGAUCUAUGGAUGAAAGCGGGGGAUCGCAAGACCUCGCGCGAUUGGAGCGGCCGAUAUCAGAUUAGGUUGUUGGUGAGGUAAAAGCUCACCAAGCCUGCGAUCUGUAGCUGGUCUGAGAGGACGACCAGCCACACUGGGAACUGAGACACGGUCCAGACUCCUACGGGAGGCAGCAGUGGGGAAUUUUGGACAAUGGACGCAAGUCUGAUCCAGCAAUGCCGCGUGCAGGACGAAGGCCUUCGGGUUGUAAACUGCUUUUGUACAGAACGAAAAGUCUUUAAUAACACUAGAGGCUCAUGACGGUACUGUAAGAAUAAGCACCGGCUAACCG
RNAcentral lists this ribosomal RNA (480 nucleotides) under uncultured bacterium. RNAcentral's name for it is "bacterial SSU rRNA". It matches the Rfam family "Bacterial small subunit ribosomal RNA", at positions 30 to 503 of the family's 1533-position model. The record is from RNAcentral.